Molecule: long non-coding RNA, 974 nt
Organism: Heterocephalus glaber (naked mole-rat)
Lineage: Eukaryota; Metazoa; Chordata; Mammalia; Rodentia; Bathyergidae
Source: RefSeq, a predicted model, not a curated record
CAGGAUGCUCAGUGGCUCCUCUGAAACAAAGUUGUAUUAAAAAAUGCACUAUCUCUUCCCAUCUAAACCUAGAGGAGAAGCAUACACAUGAUUACAUCAUCAACGUCACAAUUACUCAUAGUAGGUAAAUACAAGAAGAAAUGGAAAAAAACUUUGUGAGAAGGAAGAAAAUUCUCAUGAACACCACCACCAGUUGGUGCCACAUUAAUGAACAGCUGGUGGCUAGAGGCAAGAUCUGGGAAGAGGACUCUAGCAGACAUAGCCAAUUCCCAAUUGGCAAAGCAGGAGUACGUAGCUUCAGACCUACAUCCUGCAAGGAACAGAACUCAGCAGUCUGAAUUUUUCCUACGGCCUCAGUUCUCAAAGAACCAGGAUGUCUUCUGCUGAUGGAAUCUUGCCCUUAAGCAUCACAGCAUCACGGAACCAUUGAGGCCCCAGCUGUGACCAGAAGCAAAACAGUUGUUUUUCUUCAUGCCAGAACUGUCCUGCAGGCAAGAAGACUAGGCCUUACACAGCCAUAAUUAUAAUUUAACUGUGAAAUUCUUUUUUUACCCCAAAUUAUGUAGAAUAGCUCCUGACAUUCUUUAUAUGAUAAACAUGUUGCAAAUACAUAUUUAAAAAUAAAUCUUCUCCCAGCCUUUCCACUUGUGGUGAGACAAAAGAGAAAAAGAGAAUAUUUCAGCACUUCAGAAAGUAGAACCUAAAAGCUACCUCUUUUUUACACAAAGUUGAAGGACAGACCUCAUUAACAGAAUCAUUCAGUAUCAUGGUGUCAGAUUAUCGAGUUUUCUUACUGUUUGCUUAGAAAAGAGAUGCUCUCACAUUUCAUAAAUAAAUAUCCAUAUUAUGGAACUUGCCAUCACCUUCCCUUCCCUGAAAGUUAGUUUUUCAUACACUAAAACCACUGAAAAAGAAAUAGAUUUUAAACACUUUGAAGUAUUGAAAUAAAUACAGUAGGCUUUAUUUAUUUGAAA